Molecule: non-coding RNA, 1720 nt
Organism: Sesamum indicum (sesame)
Lineage: Eukaryota; Viridiplantae; Streptophyta; Magnoliopsida; Lamiales; Pedaliaceae
Source: RefSeq, a predicted model, not a curated record
AGGAAAAAAGAAGAAAAAGAGAUCACAGAAACAGACAUACCCAAAAGGAAUUGCAGAGAAGAGAACAAAUUACAGAAUUCCUUCUUACAUCUCUCUCUCUCUCUCUCUCUCCCCUCUGUUGUCUGAUCCUUUCUUUCUCUCUUCCUUCUUUGCUUGCGCUUAGCAAAGAAGGAAAGGGAGAAACAAUUUCUAUUUCUUUUUCGAACAAGAGAGAAACAAAAGAGGAGAACUGUGUAUAUACAUAUAUACAUAGUUCUUUGUAUAUAUGCUCUUGUGUUGAAGUUGCGAUAUUUGUUGGGCAGAAAGAAAAAGAGGGGGAAAGAUGUUGGUUGCGAACAGUUUUGAUUCAUGGCAAAAGGACACCUUCUUUUCUGCAGCGGAGGAGGUCCAACAAUCUGCCGACAUAAUGGAAUCAGCUUAUAGGACAUGGCUCAGAGCAAGGAGAGAAGGAUUGAUGCCUCAGCAUUUAGAUGAACUUGGAAGAGAGCUUCAAAUGGCUUUAGGCACUGCGAAAUGGCAGAUGGAAGAGUUUGAAAGGGCUGUUCGUAUGAGCUACAGAAGUCAUGGUGAUGAUAUUAAAAUUAGCCGGCAUAGGCAAUUUCUUUCUGCUAUAGAAUACCAAAUUUCCCAAGUUGAAACAGCACUGAGGGAAUCAUUUAACGAGGAAGGGAAGAAACCAUUUCGCUGGGUGAAUUUGGAUGAACAAGAAUGUGAUGAUUUAGCUGUUUUUCUUUCUGGAACUUCUGGGGCAACACAAAGGAUCACAGAUGGAGAUGUAACUGUUGGAGCUGUGGUAACUGGUUCCCUUAAUGAGAAAAACCACAUGGGAAAAGAUAGCAAUCUUGGUUCCAGAGUUGGUUCCAAAAUCCAACUCUUAAAUCAGGGAAAUAGCCCUGAAGAAGUCACAAUUAACGAAGAUGCCAACUGCGUCAUGCAGCCAGAAGACAGCAGACUCCCAGAGAUGGGGGAUGAAGUUAGCCGUGAAGCUGAUAGAAUUGCUAGUAAUCGCAAAACCUGGAGUUCACCAGAUGGGAAUGCCCUGGAGAUUGUUAUUGAUAGGGAUGAUAGACAGAAGAAUGCAUUCAUCGAAGCAACUCCCAAGGAGAAAGCUUUCAGACCUUUCUUUUGGAGUUCAGUUGGUCUAGACCAUCUUGGAGCAAAAGGAGGAGCACUGAGCCGUGCCCAACUGAAAGUGAUCAAUUGGAUAAAUCAGCGAUUGAGAGGUCAAAGAAGUCACAGACAACAACAGGUGGCCCAAGUGUCGCCAGUCAAUUCUAUUCGUUUCGUACUCGGAUUGAUGCUAACCAUUUUUCUAGUGGUGCCAUUUUUGGUCUAUACAACUUAAGCCAUGUUGAACUCCAUCAAUACUGAGCAAGAAAAAAGAGGUUGUCAGCUUGUGUUGAUGAUGGACGGCUUCUUUCUUUCAAUUGUGCAUAUUAGUUGAAUGAUCCGUUCCCUACUGAAUCCAACUCAUGACAAUUUGAAUCAUAAUAAACUGCAAAUUGAUUCAGUUAUAUUCUACAUAACCUGUCCAAACAUAUAGAGAAAGCAUAGAACACAGCAUUUGAUGUAUCAUUUCCUUCAAAUGCAAUUCAUGAAGCAAACCACUGCUUAUCUUAAGACAUAAAAAGGCCAUCUUCCAACACAUAAAGCAGUUAUAUUGUUCCAGUCUCGUGGUCUGCAAUUGACAACCGCAACAGGCAUUCGUCUUUGUUUCAUC